Molecule: long non-coding RNA, 2840 nt
Organism: Cottoperca gobio
Lineage: Eukaryota; Metazoa; Chordata; Actinopteri; Perciformes; Bovichtidae
Source: Ensembl
UGUGGAGCCUGCUUUGGACUCUUGGAGCUCAUUAUGAAUCUUGCUGAGCUCUCUGUGUUUCCUGUAGGUGGUUCAUCUCGACAAGGAUGAAGAAAUGCAGAAGCUUCCACUUCAGCCUCCUUAUUACGACAUGGCGCCCUCUGAGUCGACCCCCUUCACUGAUAAACUGGACUCUGGGAGGCGUCCAGAAGAGCUGUUGAACCCGGCUGAAUACAUGAGCUACCAGCGUGUCUGCAACAUGGAACCCUUCCCUGAGUCUCAGUCCGCUCCGGCCUGUCCUCCUGUUACUUUCUUGCCUCAGCACCCCUAUGCGCAGCAACCACCCAACGAGCCCACGUACUCCAACACGAGCUUCCCCGCACCCGGCCCUCGAGCUCCGUUCACGUUCCCCAAGGAGCAAUCCGUGUGACAUGUCAAGUAACUCUUGGCUCUGCAAGAGGCAACAUGAUAGUGCCACAAACGCUUCAUGGAAAACAAAGCUCUGCUGAACGGAUGUGCAUCCAUUCCCACCUUGCUUCUGUUUGUUCUAUAGGCUUAAAAUAGAGGCCCCCUCUCCCCCUCCCCUCCCCCUCCCUCCCCCACUGAGCCAUGAUGAAAAGAACUUGUGACCCUGAAUCCCCUGUGUAUUGUGCACUGCUUGCUCCACUGAGGCUGUCUGUAGGACCCCGCUCACCUUGUGAUAUUAGCGUAGCCGACACAACUACCCUCGUCCACCACCCCUCACCCCUCACGAGUGCCCACUUAUCCAGUCUGUCUUUUGAUUGCUUCCUCCCCUUUUGAAUAUUUUUGCAUUUUUGCCAACCGUCUAAACCGUGUACAGGAUAUGCCAUUGUGUCACUCAAGAUGUUAAUUUUUUUCUUCUUUUAUUAUUAUUUUUUUUUUUACAUUUCCCACAGUGGUAGUGACCUUUUCUAGCAAUGUGCUUCUUUUGUUUGUUUUCUCUUUGUCUGUCAAUCAUAUGCUUGCUUCGUUGAAAGUGAUAUACUGUACUGUAUGUGUGUUUGGGUGUAUUCUGGUAAAAAAGAAAUUAAUGCAAUUUGAUUUGUAAAGCUAAUUAUCAAUCUAUAAUGACAUGGACUACCCCUUUAAUGACAGUUAGCGUCAGGGUUAUUACGUGAAGAUGUGAAUUGGCAGUCUCUAAACUGAAUCCUUCAUUACUUUUCAUAAUGGCUUCGCUGUUAGGGAGUUUGACUGGAUAUUUCGGAAUAUUAGAAGCAAAUCCUCAUUAGCUACAAAAAAAACUAAACAAAAGGCUUGAGAUCCAACAGUAUCUACUUUUUUCUAUUUCUCCAUGUUUUAUUAUCCAUCCUUCCAGGAUAUUAUUAUUGUUAUUAUUAUUAUUAUGAAUAUUAUUAUUUUAUGAAUAUUAUUAUCUGACAGUAGUUGCCAAAGACAUAUAGUUUCAUUUAGGUUUUUUGUCCAUUUGCUUUCAUGCCAGAGUUUACAUUAAAACUAGCUUGUUUGAUGGGAAAUAAUUGAUUGGCAAUGUGCUACACUUUCCCAGUUUACAUCAUCACUUGCCAUAUGCUGUAUUUUCCAUAUCUGUAUGUGAAAACUUGAGUUGCUCAUGGAGGUUGGUCUGAGGUCCAUUGCAUUGUGGGUCCUUUGUGUUUGUGCGGAGUUAUCAACCUACAGGAGUCGUUCUUUAUGCAGGUGCAAUAGGUGAAGACAAUCACAUACUUGGGUUGUCCUGGAAAAAAGAAACGGUACAAAUAGUUCUACUCAUACCGAAAGGGAACACUUUUUCAAGGACAGCCCACAUGUUUAACAUAUUUAAAUAUCUUUUUGAAUUUGAUUUGUACUAAUAUAGCCUAAAGAGUUUCAAAUCAGUCUAAGAAACACUGAAGAGAAAAGCUUGCUACUGUAUUUUUUUAUAGAAUGCUUAGUUAUAUACGAUAGCACUGAGUCCAUUUUACACUGUGACUGUUCAUUUCAAACCAUACAUAAGCUAAUGUGCUUGAUGAGCCAAUUUCAGGAUACUGCCUCAUACACACGGGCCCUCUAGACACAGCAGAUUUGCAUAAACAAAGUUCACAUUUUUUGCCAUGUCAGAUGUAUGUUUAGAAAAAAAAAUAAAGAAAAGAAAAUACUUGUGUUUGUGCUCAAUGUGGAAAAAAUAAUCCUUGAGUUGUUGAAGGUAAUUUAGUGUUUACUCAUAUGGUGGUUAAUUGGAUAGAGUAAAACUUGUGAGACUUUCUUCUGUGCUCACCUUGUUGUCUUGCAAUGGCUCGAUAUGUGUGCUAGCAUUUAGUUUAAGCAGCGGCCUCUGGUUCAAACCGCUGAAGGAGUUUGAUAUUGCUGUACCUGCUGUGUGAAAAAACACUGAAACACUACUUUGUCUUUUUGUGACACAUUUACUAUUCACAAAAUCCUUCCUUUUCAUUAUAAGUAUUAUUAUUAUAUUAUGUGUAAAUGCUACUACUUGGUGCAAAGUAUGUUUAAAUGGCAUUUACAUGUAUUCAUUUUCACUGUCAAAUCCUUGUUUUCAGUCACAUUUGAUUAUUUUGAAUGUCCUGAAGAUAAUUGCCAUGUUUGUUUUCACCCUCGUUGUUUUGUGUUUUGUAAGACUGUAACAUUUAGUUUUUAUUUUUUUAAACAUAUAUAUAGACCUACAGCACAUUUCUUUAUUAUUAUUAUUGUACAUUUGUGGAAGGAUGAAACCUGAAUAAGUAUUAGGGUUAUGAGCUAUUCUUGUUGCUAAAUAAUGAAACGAUGUGAAACAAUUUAACCUGUUUUUUUUUUUUAUUUGAGUUAUGUUUGAUGUAAAUAUUAACAAUGUAUCUGAUGUGUGAAAAAACAAACAAGUCAUGCAGUUUAACAUUAAACUUCACAAACUACCC